GCCCAUUUGGAGCAGUGGUUAGCUCGCUCGUUUCCGGUCUGUACUCUGUUCAGCGAGAAUGCAGGGGUUCGAAUCCCCUAAUGGGUU
This is a non-coding RNA of Xylaria venustula, 87 nucleotides long. NCBI's taxonomy places the organism in Eukaryota, Fungi, Ascomycota, Sordariomycetes, Xylariales, Xylariaceae. The record is from the annotation of a GenBank genome assembly.